CCUACGGGAGGCAGCAGUAGGGAAUUUUCGGCAAUGGGGGAAACCCUGACCGAGCAAUGCCGCGUGAACGAUGAAGGUCUUCGGAUUGUAAAGUUCUGUGAUUGGGGAAGAAUGGUAUUCUUAGGGAAUGAGGAGUACAUGACGGUACCUGAUUAGAAAGCCCCGGCUAACUAUGUGCCAGCAGCCGCGGUAAU
This 194-nucleotide ribosomal RNA is filed under the name uncultured bacterium. RNAcentral's name for it is "partial 16S ribosomal RNA". It matches the Rfam family "Bacterial small subunit ribosomal RNA", at positions 338 to 524 of the family's 1533-position model. The record is from RNAcentral.